Molecule: ribosomal RNA, 849 nt
Filed under: uncultured archaeon
Lineage: Archaea
Description: bacterial SSU rRNA
Rfam family: Archaeal small subunit ribosomal RNA
Source: RNAcentral
GCAUAUUGUGAGUCGAUUAAGCCAUGCGAGUCGAGAGUCUUAGGGACUCGGCGUACCGCUCAGUAACACGUGGGUAACCUGCCCUAUGCUGGGGAAUAACCUCGGGAAACUGAGAAUAAUGCCCCAUAGUCCACAAUGCCUGGAACGGUUUGUGGAUCAAAGCUCCGGCGGCAUAGGAUGGGCCUGCGGCGUAUCAGGUUGUAGGGGGUGUAACGUACCCUCUAGCCAUCAACGCGUACGGGUGUUGGGAGACAUAGCCCGGAGAUGGAUUCUGAGACACGAAUCCAGACCCUACGGGGUGCAGCAGGCGCGAAAACUUGGCAAUGCGAGAAAUCGUGACCAGGGAACUCCAAGUGGCUGGGGUAAGACCCAGUCUUUUCUUGACUCUUCAAAGGUCUUGGAAUAAGGGGUGGGUAAGGACGGUGCCAGCCGCCGCGGUAAUACCGGCGCCUCAAGUGGUAGUCGAUUUUAUUGGGCCUAAAACGUCCGUAGCCUGUUUGGUACAUUCGUGGGUAAAUCAACCAGCUCAACUGGUUGAAUUCUGCGAGCACGGCCAGACUUGGGACCGGGAGAGGUGUGGGGUACGCUCAGGGUAGGGGUAAAAUCCUGUCAUCCUGAGCGGACCACCUGUUGCGAAGGCGCCACACUAGAACGGAUCCGACGGUCAGGGACGAAGCCUAGGGGCACGAACCGGAUUAGAUACCCGGGUAGUCCUAGGUGUAAACGCUGUGGACUUGGUGUUGGGGACUCUCCGAGAUUCCUCAGUGCCGAAGCGAAGGUGAUAAGUCCACUGCCUGGGGAGUACGGUCGCAAGGCUGAAACUUAAAGGAAUUGGCGGGGGAGCACCGC